Molecule: ribosomal RNA, 438 nt
Filed under: Pseudomonas asiatica
Lineage: Bacteria; Pseudomonadati; Pseudomonadota; Gammaproteobacteria; Pseudomonadales; Pseudomonadaceae
Description: partial 23S ribosomal RNA
Rfam family: Bacterial large subunit ribosomal RNA
Source: RNAcentral
GGUCAAGUGAAGAAGCGCAUACGGUGGAUGCCUUGGCAGUCAGAGGCGAUGAAAGACGUGGUAGCCUGCGAUAAGCUUUGGGGAGUCGGCAAACAGACUGUGAUCCAGAGAUCUCUGAAUGGGGGAACCCACUCAGCACAAGCUGAGUAUCUUGUACUGAAUACAUAGGUGCAAGAGGCGAACCAGGGGAACUGAAACAUCUAAGUACCCUGAGGAAAAGAAAUCAACCGAGAUUCCCUUAGUAGUGGCGAGCGAACGGGGACCAGCCCUUAAGUUGAUUUGAGAUUAGUGGAACGCUCUGGAAAGUGCGGCCAUAGUGGGUGAUAGCCCCGUACACGAAAAUCUCUUGUCAAUGAAAUCGAGUAGGACGGAGCACGAGAAACUUUGUCUGAAUAUGGGGGGACCAUCCUCCAAGGCUAAAUACUACUGACUGACCGA